Molecule: ribosomal RNA, 253 nt
Filed under: uncultured bacterium
Lineage: Bacteria
Description: partial 16S ribosomal RNA
Rfam family: Bacterial small subunit ribosomal RNA
Source: RNAcentral
UACGUAGGUGGCAAGCGUUGUCCGGAUUUACUGGGCGUAAAGGGCGCGUAGGCGGGCUACCAAGUCUGUGGUGAAAUCCUCCAGCUUAACUGGAGAACGGCCGUGGAUACUGGGAGCCUCGAGGGAGAUAGGGGCAGGCGGAACUGAUGGUGGAGCGGUGAAAUGCGUUGAUAUCAUCAGGAACUCCGGUGGCGAAGGCGGCCUGCUGGAUCUCAUCUGACGCUGAGGCGCGAAAGCCAGGGGAGCAAACGGG